CCUAUCCGUCGCGGGCGUUGGAAAUUUGAGAGGAGCUGUCCUUAGUACGAGAGGACCGGGAUGGACUUACCGCUGGUGUACCAGUUGUUCUGCCAAGGGCAUUGCUGGGUAGCUAUGUAGGGAAGGGAUAAACGCUGAAAGCAUCUAAGUGUGAAGCCCACCUCAAGAUGAGAUUUCCCAUUUCUUUAAGAAAGUAAGAUCCCUGAGAGAUGAUCAGGUAGAUAGGUCAGGAGUGGAAGUACAGUGAUGUAUGGAGCGGACUGAUACUAAUCGAUCGAGGACUUAACCAA
This 290-nucleotide ribosomal RNA is filed under the name Enterococcus faecium. RNAcentral's name for it is "partial 23S ribosomal RNA". It matches the Rfam family "Bacterial large subunit ribosomal RNA", at positions 2637 to 2925 of the family's 2925-position model. The record is from RNAcentral. Lineage: Bacteria; Bacillati; Bacillota; Bacilli; Lactobacillales; Enterococcaceae.